This 301-nucleotide ribosomal RNA is filed under the name uncultured bacterium. RNAcentral's name for it is "partial 16S ribosomal RNA". It matches the Rfam family "Bacterial small subunit ribosomal RNA", at positions 509 to 807 of the family's 1533-position model. The record is from RNAcentral.
CAGCCGCCACGGUAAUACGAAGGGGGCUAGCGUUGCUCGGAAUUACUGGGCGUAAAGGGCGCGUAGGCGGACAGUUAAGUCGGGGGUGAAAGCCCGGGGCUCAACCUCGGAAUUGCCUUCGAUACUGGCUGUCUUGAGUACGGGAGAGGCGUGUGGAACUCCGAGUGUAGAGGUGAAAUUCGUAGAUAUUCGGAAGAACACCAGUGGCGAAGGCGACACACUGGCCCGUUACUGACGCUGAGGCGCGAGAGCGUGGGGAGCAAACAGGAUUAGAUACCCCCGUAGUCCCUGUCUCUUAUAC